UUUCAUAAAAUUUUUUGAAAUAAUAGUACGGAAUAAAAAUACAAGCCCGACAUCGAGGUGUCACUAGUCAUAAGCAUUUACCAAGGUCUGAAUAUAACAAGAAGCCUAAAAUAAAGUACUAAAUACAGUAAUAGCAAUGUGAGAAAAGGACCGGUGCUACGAACGUCAUGCAACCACCUACUAACUUUGAUGACUCCGCGUCUGAGCAAAUCAACACCCGCUAUCGGGUUCCGAUAUACCUGCAUCUGCACAGGAGGUGCAGGGAGUAACGUGAGUACUCCAACCCAGUAAGUAAUAAAAAUAAAUAAAGACUGAGUAGUAGAAAACAACGAAGCCACAUUCACAUUAGGCUCAGUAAACACAAAAUGCUUUCAAGUCACAAUACGAGUCAACCCUCCCUUUUAAAAUCCAGCUUUUAGCAAAAAUUAUUUUAAAAUACUUUCCAGCAGUUUCAGUAGGGGUUCAAUGCCACUUAAAAUAAUAAUAGAGAUUAAAGCCAUAACUGACCCCUCGGGCAAAACAUAGUUCGUAAAACAGUCAAUCGGGAAAAAUAAUAAUCAUAAACACCUCAUAAAUUGAAGUCUCGGUGGAAAUAGCCAAAUACCAAGUCAAUGAUUAAUUUCUGAACGUCUCUUAAACCACAGUUUAAAUAAUAGUUGUUUUAAAACUUUUCUUCAACUUUUCGACUGAGGCUCAAUAUGAAGAUUGAGUAAAAAAACAGUCAAUAGAUCAGCAUAUUCGAUAAAAACUCGCGCUUAGGAGGAAUGAAAUCAAUACGUUCAUAAAAAUGUCUUUCAGGCAAAAUGUCUUUGGGCUAACCUCUCUGUCCCUCGUAACUCAUCUCUUACCAAACUUUACUCGCACUCAGCGUUCAUGCUCAAUGGGUAUCAUAUAGUAAACGUUGCGGCGUGCAGCCAGAUCUAUAUAUAUUUCAUAUAUUUCGUCGACGACGCUCACUUGCAAAAUCCGGGAGGGGCCCCUUAUAGACCAAGCGCAAUAUUGUGUGGCGUGCAGCCCGAUCCAACAUAUCGCUGCGGUGUGCAGCCCGAUCCAUAUAAGUAUCGUUGCAGCGUGCAACCCGAUCCGUAUACUUAUAUUUAUAUAUUGUUGCGGGCUGCCCGAUCCAUGGUUAUAUAAUCCUCACAACUAGGCCUUCGGCCUCUCUCAAUCCUUAACCUCACCAUCAGACUCUCAGUCUAUCUCACUAAAAUAGGGAACUCAGCCCAAAAUAGUUUUCACACUUUAAGAAUAGUACUAUAAAGCCAAAUUUGAGUAGUAACAGGUAGAAACAUGAUCGAGGAUAUGGUUUCAAACAAAUAGAGUGAGGAAAGAUAGUAUAAAUGCCCCUAUGGGUCUCAACAAGUCGGCACAAGGCCCCAAACAUGGCGUACAACCCAAAAUAUAGUAACAUCAAACAAUUAACUAUCAAUUUCGCAUGAAAAUAAUCGUUCGGGAUGGACUAGGUCACGAUACCCAGUGGUGCUCUACCCCACGCUCGUCAUCUAGCGUGUAAGUCACCUCAAAGUAACACAACGAUGUGUAAUCUGGGGUUUCAAACCCAUAGGACAACAUUUACAAUCAUUACUUACGUCGAGCCUCAAUUAUAGCUUUACCCCUUGAUUCCGCCACAAAUCCACUCUAACCUAGUCAGAGAUUACUUAAAUACAUCAACAAAUGCUAAAUGCUCAAUUUGAAUGCAUAAAAAUAAAUUUUCAAAGUUUACCCAAAAAGUCCAAAAAUGCCCCCGGGCCCGUGUGGUCAAAACCCGAGGUUCGAACCAAAACCUGGUUACCCAUUUCCCCACUUAUCCAAAUAUAUGAUUUGUUUUGAAAUCGGACCUCAAAUUGAGGUCUAAAUCCCCAAUUUUAGAAAAACCUAGGUUCAACCCAAAAACCCCAAUUUCACCCAUGAAAAUCCUUGAUUUUAAGUUGAAAACAUGUUAAAUGAUGUUAUUGAUUGAAAAAAUUGAGUAAAAUCGACUUACAAAUGAUUUGGAAUGAAACUUGUUCUUGAAAAAUCGCCUAUGGAGUUUGGGUUUUGAAAGAAUGGUAAAAAAUGGUGAAAAUUCGACUAAGUAUAAAAUUUGCUAAGCCUCAGAUAUGGAAAUUGUGAGCUAGGAUUUGCAAUUGCGAACCCCGACCAUUUGUGAAAAUUGCAAAGCUGGGUUAGCAUUGUGCACCCUUAUAAUUUUUCCAGUUCUCGCAUUUGCGAAAGGAAAGUCGCAUUUGCGACCACCCUACUUUCGCAUUUGCGAGGUCUGAGAUCGCAUCAGCGAUCAGUGUAAAAAAUCCCCUAGUUCGCAUUUGCGAGCAAUGGGAUCGUAUCUGCGAUUAUAGGCCCAAGUCCUAGGCUUCACAAUUGCGACGAAUGUCUUGCAUUUGCGAGGCACAUCUUCGCAAAUGCGAAGAUCACAGAAGAAAACAUGCCACAUUUUACAAAAUUCAAAAAUGCAAUCCAACACCUAUCCAAAACUCACCUGAGCCCUCGGGACUCCAAACCAACUAUGCACACAACCUCAAAAAUAUCCUACGGACUUAUCCGUGCGAUCAAAUUGCCAAAAUAACAUCACAUACAUAGAAUCAAACCUCAAAACUCAUGAUUUCUUCCAAAUUUUCAUAAAAUAUCAAAUUUCCAUUUUAAGUCCGAAACACGUCAAACGACAUCCGUUUUCAACUAAACUUAGCGCUUAAACCAUAUAUACGACUUGUACCGGGCAUCAGAACCAAAAUACGGUCCUGAUGCCAUGGUCUUUUAAUCAAAUUUCAGUUCCAAUUUCCUUAAUUAUUUUCAGAAAAUAAUUUCACACAAAAAUUCAUUUCUCGGGCUUGAGACCUCGGAAUUCGAUCUCGGGCAUUCUCCCAAGUCCAAUAUUUUCCUAUGGACCCUCUGGGACCUUCAAAUUAUGGGCUCGGGUCCGUUUACCCAAAAUAUUUUUUGAAGUCAAAUUUAUUCAAUUAACUAUCAAAAUUUAGCAUUUUUCUCACAGAAUUCAUAUUUAAGCUUUCUGGCUACGCGUCCGGAUUGAGCACGCAAAUCAAGGCAACCCUAAGUGAGGUUUCCAAGGCCUAAAAAACACAGAAUGAGUAAGGAAAUAAGUGAUGACCCUUUGCGUUGUCACACCUUUCAAAUUUUUAGUUUUAAACUGAGAACUUUUCUUCCAAAUUUAUUUUAAUUAACCUGAAACCAAAACCAACGAGCUGUAUAGGUAGUAAUACACCACAUGGGCGAAAUCAUGCCCGAGAACUGGCGAUCAAAGUGAAAAAGGUCAAAACGAUCGGUCGAGUCGUUACAUCCUCCCCCACUUAAAUACACGUUCGUCCUCGAACGUACCCAGAGUUGUUCUAGAAGACAGCCAAUGGCUGAAUAACUUUAUUAUGCAUAUACCCGGGGUUGAUCCCACGUCACCCUAUCUCAUAUAUGUCCGCAAUCCAAUCUAACUUGUAAACCAUAGAACCACAUGUCCACUUAUGAAACCAUCAACACGAUUAAAACCCCACACCUAUACUCUGAAUAUGCCUAACUAGCUGUAAUAACCCAUGCCUGCAACCUCAGGUACAAUUAUAUGAUAUACCACAUAACUCAGACACACAAAGUGAUAAUUUGCAUUCACAACAGCUGCACAAAUCAACCGAAUACCGAUAGAAAACCUCUUUACAACUAAAUUCCCAUUCCAACACUUCCAUAUACUGCCAAUGAUAAAUUGAAACACGAAGUAAAUCAUAACCAUUUCUCAGAUCAUCCAUUUAUAAGGCUACUUCUCCUUUGUCAAGGACCAUAGCAAUUUCUGAACCGAACCUUGAUAUUUAUCCAUCAAACAUGCUGAAACUGGAUCCGUUUGUAUUCAUUACAGGCCCCAACAAUCUAAUAUGAUCCAAUACCGCCACUUUGGUGACAUGACACAUCAAUACAGGCCAAAAUCACAACUUGCACAGUCCGCGCACCAAUAAGCAGCAAUCUGAAUAUACUACAUCAUGAACUUGGCUCAAAUAAAAGAGUUGUACCUCAAGCUCACCAGUACCAUCACAAAACAUGGCCGAGAACUUGUCUCGCAUCAUAGAAGUUGAACACACUAAUCUAACUCGUAAGGUCAUAUUUCCACAUUACUUCGCUACCAUGUACAACACUGCUCCACAUGGAACACCUCAAUAUAUGUUUUAACCUAUGGUAAGACUUUAACCUUAUUAAUCACUUUUAAUUAAUUUUAAGAAGAUUUCAACAUCAUCUAAAAUACGUCUUUGGACCAUGCCACAUAAAAUGCACCCGCAAUCCGAGACAUAUUUUAUUUAACAUUGUGAGAUUUGGAUCUGAGUCACAUGAAAUACACAACUGAGUUUAAGAAGGUGAUGUUAGUAAAAUAACGGGCCUAAAGUAACUACGCGUUUUUAGCUUUGCUAGGGCCAUGGAAAUUUACUAAUGGCACGCCUCUAAUUCUAAGGAUUUAAGAGAAAUAGUCAAAUGAGGGCCACGCAUUUGGGGUCAUAUUUGGCGUGGCGCACCUCGAUUCCAUUUUAAGAGGGAAUUUAAACUUAACUUUGGAGGGCCAUAAGCUAUUUAUGUCGUCUAAUAUGGUUCACCUCCAUUAAUUAAAGAGCUUAACUAAUUGACUAGAAGCAUAGAGAAUUUUUUAAAACAAAAAUUAUUUCAGUGCACGUUUUGUAUUAUAACUUAAAGGAAUCAUGACGUAUAAGGAUAACCCAAUUACUUGAAACUGAUUUGGGCUCACGACUCGACAUCAGUGAGUUCGCUUGAAGCAGAACCACGUACAGUCCAAAUAGGCCAUUAUCCUAUUUCCAAGUGCAUUCAGAAUCUGGGCCCAAAUUGAUCCUAAACUCCACGGGUGGAUAAAUACCCAAACAUACAGACCUAGUAUCGAAUCCCUGCAUCAAACUCAUCACAAACGAAUCAGCCUAGCUUGAGUAAAGCUCCAGUAAUAAAUCAACAUAUGAUAAGAUAAAUACAAGAUUCUAAAACUUUAACAUCCCAAUAACAGGCUGUAUGUCCAUUUGAAAUAUCCUACCGAUAAUAGACACCUGGUAUUCAAAAUUACUAAUUAAUCAUUCUCAUAUCACACACAAUACUUAACCAGCUUAAUUUUACAAUGAUUAUCGAACAUGUAAUCCCCUUCUUGAAUUAUAAUCCUCGAAACGAUGCAAUGUAAUCAUGCCAUAUAUUAGUGAUGAAGUGAAAUUCAAACAUUAACUUAAGCAAAUAUAAACCAAACCAGCAUGAUAUUCCCUAACUGGCAUAGGCCUGCACUACAGAAACAUUCAGAUCCUUUAAAUGUUCAAAUACAAAAUCCUUCAGAUCAAUCAAAGAAACAACAUGGUGAGUUAAAAAAUCCUAAAACAUCUUUGAAGAUAAAAUAUAAGGAUAUCAACAUGGUUGAGUGGUGAAAUUAACACAUAAAUAAGGAAAACCUCCAACGAACAUAAAUUGAUAUUCAACAAAACUGAGGUUCAUCUCAAAUCUUUUAACUCAGUUACAUGUUUUCAGAUUUGCACUUCAUAUGUCACUUAAAAGUUAAGGAAAUACCUGGAAUUCAAAAUAAAACGGAAAAUGGUGGUUCAGCAAAUGCAACAACAGCAACAAUAUAGCAAGAUUCAACACCAAUAGCCCAUUUCAACACAAAAAAAUGAAGUAGGCCAAACAAACUCCCAAUUGAGCAAUAACCCAUAGAUAACUUCAGAACCAAACUUUUAAAACCAAACUCAAUUCAUUUUUAACCCUAGAUGAAUAAGAAAAGGUUUUCAGAAUUGGAAAACUUCAGAAAAUCACCAAGAAGAAUUUAAUAGAAUAGUAUCUUUGUGAAAUUUUUAGAUGCCUUGAUUUUUUCUGAAUUUUUAUACCUUUUUCAGUCUCUAAAAUCUGAGUGGAGCUUCCCCUAG
RNAcentral lists this long non-coding RNA (5885 nucleotides) under Nicotiana benthamiana. Its description in RNAcentral is "long non-coding RNA (NBEN_LNC034773)". Lineage: Eukaryota; Viridiplantae; Streptophyta; Magnoliopsida; Solanales; Solanaceae. The record is from RNAcentral.